UGCUAUUUCUCCAAAAUGUUAUAUUCCUUAUCGUACAAUAGUCAAUAGGUACAAACAUACGCUACAUACAGACACACCUGAAGCCACAAGCUAUGUUGUUUACCCUCCCUUUCCCUCUAAACUCUACACCCAAAGAUACGUUUCCUUGUAGUAUUCAUCAUUCCUGUCCCCUUGAUGCAUCCUCACAAUUCACAAAUCAAAGUCCAUACUUGAGUACCUAAUGUGAACUUUUCCAUUAGUGAUCGGCAUGGUUUGAAUUUUGGAAAAAGCAAACUAAAAUCAAAUCAAGCCAGUAAAAUGGUUAACUUACCGAAACACCAUUUUUAGCAAAACUAGUUUGGUAGCAGCGAAAUUGAUGAAGUUGGAAGUUUCUGCUUUCAGCAUAUAUAACUCGUUGUUGCUUCCUCCUUUUAAGGGAGUAGCCAAUAGGGCUACAUCAGCCACAUGAUAUAGGUGACAUUUAUUUCAAGCUGUAACAUUGCAUUUCCACAAAUAAAAAUUCUCAGAAAUUAUAAAUAAGAAUGUUAUUUAUAGUACAUUAAAAAAAAUGCGACUUUAAUAUUCUUAGGAAUAUUUUUUUAAAUUAAAAUUGUUAGACGAAAAAAGUAAAUUAGAAAGAAAAGAGUAGAAAUGGAAAUUAUAAAUUGAGUUAAAAAAACAACUUCUCAUACUCCUAGGGGAUUAUAACUCUCACCCCUCACCAUUAAAAUAAAAAUGAAGUAAAACAAAGAAAUCUCUAUUCAGCAGGUAUCAUUAUCAAUACCAAAUUUGCAUCAAUAAGAAUCGCAUUAUACGUGUACUGAAAAUUCUACAGAGCACAAUAAAUCACCAAACACAAUAUGAAUCAUAAAACUACAAUAUCAGUCAAAAUUACAUUUCCAUUUUUACAUUUCGAGAAUAAAUUUUUAAAUCUUUAAAAAAACACACUCGUAGGGUUCAAUUAACGACGGUAGUAUUAUUUUUUGUGAUGUGGUCUUCCCGUCAUCUUUUCUAACGAAUAUUUCUAUAAACAAACCUUCAUUAUCAUAUUAUGUCAUCCACUGAAAUCUACUGACAAGUAUUAAGCAAACUAUUUAAGUUCUUUACACAACCUCAAAAUCUGAACUCUGAAGUGAGAAGAUCCAAAAGGCACAAGCUGCUGCAGGAUUUGAAAUUCAUCAGAAAAGCUGAACAACUAAACAACUAACAAAUAAAAGCUCCUAUGAAGAAGUCAAGUAAUUGAUCAACAGAGCAGAAGCAGUCAAUAAUACCAGUACCACACUAAGUACCAAUCAAAUUAAGAAUACUUGAACAUUUGCAAUAUCCAAUCAACCAAUGUUAUCAACUCAAGAGUUUAUAUAAACUCAUGAAGGCUCUGUAAAAUCUAAGAAUUUACUUAAUAUAAGAAAUAUAACUGAUAGAGAACAUUUAGAGAGAUGCGAGGUAGAGAGAGAGAGAGAGAGAGAGUGAGAGAUAGAGAGAGAAGGUUAGACAGAGGGGGAGAGAGAGGGAAUGUGAGUGAGACAGAGACAGUCAGGGUGAGGGAGAACACCAAUCGGAGGGAAACACCGAGAGUGAGUGAUUCUGUGAGAGAGAGGAACCUUGCCAACGACCGUUUCGUUAAGUAUGACGAAGCGCCUACAAGAGCUAACGUAUAUGAGUGGCAAACUGUGAGCCAUAGGAAGCAUAGAGGUGCGGCCAAACAGACACAUGGCGGGAACGGACGUCGGCAGCAGUAUCACCGGAGAAACUGGAGGGAUGAUGCAGACAUUACCUCCUUUUAUUUCACCAAUUUCUCAGAGGAGGUAACCAAGAUGGAGCUAUGGAGCCACUUCAAUCAGUGGGGGGAAGUUAAAGAGGUCUUCAUCCCCAAUCGGAGGAACAAGGAGGGGAAGAGAUAUGGUUUUGUGCGUCUCAGAGGUGUAACAGACGUGCGAAAUGUAGAGAAAGCUCUCGACAAUAGCUUCAUCCGGGGGGUAAAACUUCAUGUUAAUACUCCCAAAUAUGGACGUGGAGAGAUGAUGAAGGUUCACAUUAAACAGAAGCCUAUGGGGGCAAAGACAGGCAAGGACGGACCGCCAUGUACGAACGAAGCUUCUCGCAAAGGUGUAGUGGGGACAUCAACCACAAAAUCAUAUGCAGAGGCAGUGAUGGCGCUGGGAAGGAAGUCAAAUUCUUCGACAAAGGAAGUCAACCAGUUCGGUAACAACACUAGCACCUGCUCCACGUUUUCGUUAGCCAUAUCUGUGGAAGAUAAGGCUCGAUACCAAAACGCCUGGGUCGGAAGGCUGAAGAACAUAGCAAUUUUUGAAAGAUUGGAAGAGGAAAUGGUGUGGAAUGUGGGUUCAGGCAUUUCGGCUAGUUACAUGGGCGAUGAUAUGGCCAUUCUCUUUGGUCUAUCAGAGAAAAAAGCGGCGGAUAUUAUUCGACAGGAGAAAGAACAGUCCUCCUCUCUGUUUUACUCCUUGACGAAGUGGUCUCCUCAACUGAGGGCCGAAACCAGACUUGUCUGGCUUCGAGUUUGGGGUAUCCCUCUCCUCGCGUGGAAGACGGACUUCAUGCGUAGGAUGGUGGCCGCAGUGGGUGACUUUGUUGACGUCGAUGACGACGUGGAACACAUGCAGCGCCUAGACCGUGCCAGGAUCCUGGUAAGGACGCCGCGACCGCCGCUCAUCCAGCACGUUGCGCAUGUCCUCAUUGACGGAGUCAGACAUCGCAUUGAUAUAGUUGAAGAAAACGGCGGAGGGGAGUUAGGCGAUACCCGCCAUGGGAGGAACCUAUGGAGUUCGUCUGAAGAAGUGCCUUCCGAUGUAGCAGACGACGACAUGGAUUCAGUCAUCUCGUGGCCGUCGGGAACAUUUCCGCCCAGGGACGCUGGGAUAUCUGCCGGCGACACUACCGCGGACUGCCGGGAUGCGCGAUCAUCACCUUUGCCCGUUGGGUGUUCGCGCGACGUGGACCCUGCGGUUAAUGACCUACCUGACAGGGUUUUGACCACUUUAUCUCCAUCGGGUUCUGUUGUUAGCCCAAGUAGGAAGCUUUUUGAAUUGGCCAUAGCUCCCCAGCCAACACAUCCUGCAACCAUUCACGAAUAUGUAGCGGACCCAGUACUCGAAUGUCAAAACCUUCCUCAUUUAUCCAAUACAGUUUCCACAUCUUCCCCCAAAGCAUUUUCAGAUGGCCCUUUUGAGGAGGGAGAUAUCCCCAGCCCUGGCCGAAUUUUAAAAAAUAAUUCCCACAUCAACGGUUCUCACACCCCACCUUUUGAAUCUUUUGAUAAACAGACCCACCACCUUAAUGGGCCUUGCACUCCUGUGGCCCAACAAACGGUUUCUCAUAGCCCCCACCAGAAACAGCAGAUGUUAUCUAGUGGCUUGCAGGUUUAUUCCAGAAGAAUGUGGUGUAAAAAGAAAAAAGCCCAUCAGGAGUUAGUCACUCACAAUAACUCUGCAUCGUCAAAGAAUCAAGAGGAAGCAGCCUUCGUGAGACAAUGUGAUCUCCUAAACCAAAUGGGAUUGACUUGCGGGGAGGACUUUCAGCAACUCAUGGGAAGCUUGGUUGACAUGGAGCAGAGAGAUUCUGACCUGGUAGCAGAGAAGGGACAUGACAGUUGUGCUAAUGAUAAUCUUAUCAUAUAAUUGUAGAGGCUUGGGGAGGGGGGUGAAGUGGGCUGCUAUCCGUAAGCUCAAUAUAAAACAUAAGGUGGAUUUAGUCUGUUUGCAGGAAACUAAGAAAGAGUCUGUUACUAAGAAUGCUUGUCAGUCUAUUUGGGGAGAUGCUAAUGUAUCCUGGGAUUUUGUUCCUUCNNNNNNNNNNNNNNNNNNNNNNNNNNNNNNNNNNNNNNNNNNNNNNNNNNNNNNNNNNNNNNNNNNNNNNNNNNNNNNNNNNNNNNNNNNNNNNNNNNNNAGGAGGGUGAAGGGUAUGAAUUUUUUGUUGUUGACAGGAAGAUGGACUAAGGACAACACGCUGGUGAACAUAGUGAAUGUGUAUGCUCCGUGUGAUAUAGCUGGGAAGAGAGAAUUGUGGGAUCAUUUGAAGCAGCUAAAAGCCUCUAACCCUGAGACUGCUUGGUGUUUCCUGGGGGAUUUCAAUAGUAUAAGAAGUAUGGAUGAAAGAAUUGGUUCCUCCCAGAGGUUUGUGGGUGUUCAUGACAGGGAUGGCUUCAAUGAAUGGAUAGCUGAUACAGACCUUCACGAAAUUAAAAGCUAUGGCAGUAUUUUCACUUGGUGUAGACCAAAUGGUUCUGCAAGGAGCAGACUUGAUAGAUGUCUGGUAUCUGCUCAGUGGUUCACUAAAUGGCCUGAUUCCUCUCAACAUGUGCUUAAUAGAGACUAUUCGGACCACUGUCCAAUCCUUUUGAAAACUGAUAUGCUGGAUUGGGGUCCCAGGCCUUUCAGAGUCAUGGAUUGCUGGAUGAAAAAUAAUCAGUAUAAAGCUCUGGUUAAGCAAGUGUGGAGUGGGGAAAUGCAAUCAGGCUGGGGGAGUAUCGUUUUGAAAAACAAGCUGAAGACCCUAAAAUCCAGUCUAAAAAGUUGGAGUAUUCAGUAUGGGGAUAGUCAUAAGAACAAAGUGGAUCAAUUGAAGCAGCAGCUGCACCAGUUUGAUUCUAUAGCUCAGGUCAGAACUCUGGGGGUUGAUGAAGUCAAGGCAAUGAAAUCCACUCAGCAGGAAUUGUGGGAGGUUUCUCUUGCUCAUGAAUCAAUUCUGAGGCAAAAAUCUAGAAUUAAAUGGCUCAAAGAGGGGGAUAGCAACACUGCAUUUUUUCACAAAUCCAUCAACUUCAGGAGACACUACAACGCAAUUCAAGGUAUCUUUGUUGAAGAUACAUGGGUCCAGCAACCAAACUUGAUUAAACAAGAAGCUGUUAAUUUCUUUAAUGCCAGAUUCACAGAGGAAAAAGUGGAUAGACCUACCUUGGAUGGGGUCCAAUUCAACACAAUUAAUUCAACUCAAAGGGAGGAUUUGACUGCACCUUUUUCAGAACCUGAAAUUAAGGAGGCUGUAUGGAGCUGCUGUGGAGAUAGAUGCCCUGGGCCCGAUGGUUUCAAUUUUAAUUUCAUUAAGGAGUUUUGGGGGGUCUUAAAACCAGAUUUUGGGAGGUUUGUGGAUGAGUUUCAUGCUAAUGGUAGCUUUCCUAAGGGUAGUAAUGCAUCCUUCCUGGCUUUAAUUCCAAAAACACAUCACCCACAGUCCUUUGAUGAUUACAGGCCCAUUUCCCUCAUUGGGUGUAUGUAUAAGAUCAUAGCUAAAUUACUGGCUAACAGGUUAAGGAGAGUGAUGCCUGCCCUCAUUGAUGAGAGACAAACUGCGUUCAUAAAGGAUAGACACAUCCUUCAUGGAAUUUUAAUCCUCAAUGAAGUUCUGGAGGAAGCUAAAAGAAGUAAGAAGCCAGCCCUGGUGUUUAAAGUGGAUUUUGCAAAGGCCUAUGACACUGUUUCAUGGUCCUUUUUGGAUUAUAUGAUGGAGCGAAUGGGAUUCUGCCUCAAAUGGAGGAGAUGGAUUAAGGCUUGCAACCAAUCAGCUACUAUUUCCAUUCUUAUAAAUGGCAGCCCCUCAAAAGAAUUUGCUCCAUCAAGGGGAUUGAGGCAAGGGGACCCUUUAGCCCCGUUACUCUUUAACAUUGUGGCUGAGGGUUUGAAUGGUAUGAUGAGGACAGCUCUGAACAAAGGCCUUUAUAGCAGCUACCUGGUAGGGAAGCAGAAGGUCCCAAUAAAUAUUCUGCAAUAUGCGGAUGAUACCAUUUUUGUGGGAGAAGCUACUUGGGACAACGUAAUUGUUAUGAAGACAAUGCUUAGAGGAUUUGAAUUGGCAUCAGGGCUGAAGAUCAACUUUUCCAAAAGCAGUGUUGGAAUUUUCGGGGCUCGCUCCAAUUGGGUUCAAGAGGCAGCUCGGUUCCUUAAUUGCAGAACCAUGGAGACCCCUUUUCUAUAUCUGGGGAUUCCUUUAGGGGCUAAGCAUUCUAGCUGGAUGGUGUGGGAACCUCUCAUCAAAAAAUUCGAAUCAAAGCUGUCCAAGUGGAAUCAGAGAUUUCUAUCUAUGGCUGGGAAGGUCUCUUUGAUUAACUCUGUCCUCAAUGCUCUUCCUAUAUAUCUCCUGUCUUUUUUCAAAAUUCCUCAUAAGGUGGUCCGAAGAGUGAUUUCCUUGCAAAGGAACUUUCUAUGGGGGGGGGGGGAUUCUGAACAUAAGAAAAUAGCAUGGGUAAAUUGGAACACUAUAUGCCUCCCCAAGGAGUUUGGAGGCCUUGGGAUCAAGGACAUUAAUAGAUUCAAUGCAGCCUUGUUGGGAAGAUGGAUUUGGGAUUUAUCUUCUAACCAAGAUCAGCUUUGGGUUCGAACUUUAUCAUCCAAGUACGGGGGCUGGACAGAUCUAAUCAAUGGCAGAGACAGGGCUUGGCAUUCUCAAUGGUGGAAGGACCUCAGAAAGUUAGUUAAGCAGCCUGAUUUUAGCCCUAUUACCCAGCACAUGGAAUGGAAGGUAGGGGAUGGGAGUUUAAUUAACUUCUGGAAGGACAAAUGGUUGGGGACUGGUUCUAACCUGGAUCAGCAGUUUAACCAGAUGUUCCUCAUCAGUAGACAGCAGAAUAGUAAGAUUUGUGAUAUGGGUAGCUUAUCCCACGGUACUUGGCGAUGGGACUUAAAAUGGAGAAGAAACCUCUUUGAUCAUGAACAUACAGAAGCUGUGACAUUUAUGGAGCUGAUCAGUAAUGUCCAGAUCCAACCUCAUGUGAAGGAUUCCUUGCGUUGGUCAGCAGAUCCUUCGGGGAUUUACUCUUCUAAGUCAGCCUACAGACUGCUAAUCUCUGUUAAUAGAGAUAUUCCUCAGCCAAAUAUCUACAACUUGUUUUGGAGACUUAACAUUCCCCCUAGAGCUGCAGUUUUCGCUUGGAGAAUUUUAAAAAACAGGUUACCCACUAGAUACAAUCUCUUAAAAAGAAAUAUAUCCAUCCAAGAUCAAACAUGCCCUUUAUGUAGAUCUCAUCAAGAGGAGGCUGGUCACCUGUUUUUCCAUUGUAAAGUCACUACUGUUUUAUGGUGGGAGUCUAUGAGUUGGAUUAAGUUGGCUGGCCCCUUAGCAGCAUCCCCAGCAGAUCAUUUCAUUCAAUUCUGUGAUGGUUUUGGAUCUGCCAUUAACCAAACUCGCCGACGUUGUUGGUGGAUUGCUUUAACUUCCACAAUAUGGCAGCAUAGGAAUUCUUUGGUCUUCCAAGGCAAGAGUUUCGAUCCUACAAAAGUGAUGGAAGAUUCCCUUUUCCUGUUGUGGUCUUGGUUGAAAACCAGAGACGGGCACUUUAAUGACUCCUUUAACUAUUGGUCGUCCAAUAUAGUGCGAUACUUUGGCUAAUGUAUUUCUUUAGUUAUGUUUGGGAAGGGUGUAUCUGAGUUUUCUCAGUUUUGUUUUGAUGGGCUUUUUUCCUAUGUCUUAAGAUGUAUCAACCACCAGCAGUACCUCUGGUGCUGCUUUGUUUCUUUGAAAUUAUAUAUAUAUAAUAUUUUGUGGCCUUUCAAAAAAAAAGAAAUAUAUUAAAAUACCAAUAAAUAACAUAAUAAUCAACAUUUAAACUCUAUAAUAUAGAAAUAUAGCAAAAACUAAAAAAUUAAAAACACCACUACAAAUGCAAAUCUGGUGGCUCCAAAACAGAGGAGAAUGGGAGAGAAUGUCAAGACCCAAAACAAAGCUGGGAAAAAACACCACUACAGAUGCAAAUUUGGUUGCACCAAAACAGAGGAGAAUGAGAGAACGUCAAGACUCAAAACACAGCUGGGAAAACACCAUCACAGAUCUGGUUGUGCGACACAAAUUGUGCCCUAGGUCUGUUCUGCAUAAAUCACAAUCCAAAAAUGCACACAACCAGUGUGGUUUUGGGCUAUAUUUUAAUGCCCAACUGAGCUCCUUGAAUCACCCCUAAACUCACGACAUGAGUUUGCACAAGCUUACUCAAAAACAAGUUUACAAACGAGUUAACCCAUUUCGUUGGUGUAGGAAUGUAAACUCAAACGAUUUUAUGAGUUGGCUCGCAAUUUUGAUAACCAUGCAAUCAACAGAAGAUCUAACAGUGAAUCUCUAAUUCUAAAAGAAAACUCACAAUUAUGAUCACAUUUAUGGUAUGUUUGAAUCAAAGGGAAGAAAAUACAGAUGACCAUAUAUUUUCUUUUGUUUAGUUGGGGGAAAAGUGAAAAUAAAAAGGAGAAAAGUUGAAUUCCAAAUACAAAAAUUAAAAAUUUUAUUUCCUUCCACAGUUCCACUUUCCCUUUAAUUCAAAUUUAAAUUUUCUGUCCUUCAUACCAAAAAGACCAUUAGUUUAAAAACAAUUUCAUGGUAAUUUAGUUUUAGCCCUGACUCUUUCCACUGACAUAUGCCAAGAUAAAUUCAUACACAACAUAAAAUCUUUAUAAAUAUGAAAAGAAGUGUGCUGCCUCAUAACUGACUCUGUUUCAUGCUAGUAUUUUCUAGUUAGUACUGAGUAGUCAAGAAAGGAAAUGGAACGGGAUGGCCCACUGCCAACAUCUUAACUCAUGUUUAGGAAAGAAAUCAACAUUUAUUCUGAGUAACUACUCUUUUUAUUGAACAUAGUUGUCGAUAGCACCAAAUUACAACGCUAUCGCUAAAUCGUGUCAUGGAACAGAUGGAGCAUGCUACGAAAAUUGAAUAGUGUCGCAAUUUGAAGUAACGGUCAUUGCAGCAGCAAUAGCCGACAAAAUCACAGCUGGCACGGGCAUUACUGAAGUGGGUCACAAAAAUCCCAUUUUAACCAUGAAGCGGCAUAAAGCAGCAUCGCCUAGGACUGUUUUAGAGGAUCGAUUUGGGAUUCCGACACCAUUGAAUCAGAGCUGAACCCUAAUUUCUCAUUCACUUGUGUGCCUCUGUUAGUCUGUUAUGAAGUAGGGCCAACUGUUCUCCUUUUCGACAUACACCCAUCCUUCCAUGCAACAUUUCCAGCAUUUCCCAACAUUUUCUUGCCAGCUGUGACAGUUGGUGACCCCCAACUUUGCACCCUUGGCUCUCCAUAGUUUUCGAUAAUUCAUGAGACCUUCGCGGGCAUUUUCUGGUGAACCUGUCACCAUUCCUGGCCAAUCGUGACAUGUUUGCUUCCUUGCUUUGUUCCGUCCCUGAGUUGUUCUGUUUCAUGAUCUCUUCAACACAGGUAUCUCAUCUCACUGUCUUGUGCUCUGUUCUAACUUCUAAGUUUAACCUUUAAUUUUUUUAAUUCUAAUUGGUUAGAACAGCAACCAUCCUCCAACCUGCUAUAAAAUUUUUAAGGUUGGUCGCUCCGUGCCACUAUGUGGGAUUGACAACUAUGACAGAAAUUAAAGCUAAAGAACAGGCUCUUAAACAGCAUAUUGAGUUUUCAUGGGCAAAAAGCUAGCAAUCUAUCAGAUAACCAUGCUUCUGCUGUCACCAAGGGGCAGGUACAUGAAUCUAGUCCCUACUUGUCUAAUUAGAGAAAGCCCACUUUUAUGCCUCUUUAUUGGCUCUUUCAAAUGAAUAUUUUUAGGGACAUUAUUCAAAAUAGUUUAGCAGAGAUGGAAACUUUGUAAUAGCCAAAAUUCUAAUUUACAUAAAAUUAUAUGAAAUAACAGACAGCCACUAAAAUUGGAAAUGUCAUCCAAAAUUAUCAUGCUUGUUGUUCCGACCUCAAGUCUACCAAGAUCGUUAGGGUAACCACAUCCAAGUUAUUGUCCACUUUGGUACUCGGUGGCCCAUCAUGGUUUUGUCCUUAUUAAAAUGCACCUCAAUGGAUUGAGGGAAGGGUUUUUAUAAACUACCUUUGGCCUUGACUCCUAAGUGAUGUAGGUCUUUUGGCAUACUGGAACAAGCCCCCCAGUCAAGGCUCAGGGGAAAGAGUGGCCUAGGCCAUAGAACUUGGAAUUCACCCAAUUCUAGACUUAAGCACCAUCUAGUCAGUACAUGAUUUCUAUUCCUCAAGCAAAUCUUAUACUUCAUCAUCUAGCUCUCUCGUUCAUUUGUCAGCAUGACAGAAAUCCACACCAAUAAGGACCAACACGGUUACUAAUAAAUUUUUAUUAUUAGUAACUAUCUGAUAGGGAAAGUGAUAGGGUGCAAACAGAACAAUCAGCAGAGGUCCAAGCAGAACAUACAAGGGUGCAGAUCAAGGAAAAGCCCAAUAGGAGAGUCACAAGACCAGCUUACCUUCGAGACUAUGCUUGAGGGCAGCUCGGGGAUUUCAUGUUCAGCAUAUGCAGCACCACCAAUAUCGUAUAUAGCUUGAUUUGGAAUUGUUCCCGAUAGCUAGACAAAUACGACAAAUACGACAAAUUCUGUUAGUGCAGAAUAUUAAAUUCUGUUAGUGCAGAAUAUUCUUGCAAGUAAUCCAAUCCUAUUCUGUUAGCAAGAAUUCUAUAAAUACCUAUGUAAAUAACCAAAUCAGGCAUGAAUGAAAAUAGCAAAGUUCCUCUCCUUUCUGCUUUUCUCUGUUCUUCUCCCCCCUUAUUUCUGGAGGUGCUGGCCUCGAACCCAGCAUUAUCACUU
RNAcentral lists this long non-coding RNA (10467 nucleotides) under Glycine max (soybean). Its description in RNAcentral is "long non-coding RNA (GMAX_LNC000359)". Lineage: Eukaryota; Viridiplantae; Streptophyta; Magnoliopsida; Fabales; Fabaceae. The record is from RNAcentral.